RNAcentral lists this ribosomal RNA (517 nucleotides) under uncultured Glomus. RNAcentral's name for it is "SSU rRNA". It matches the Rfam family "Eukaryotic small subunit ribosomal RNA", at positions 569 to 1088 of the family's 1831-position model. Lineage: Eukaryota; Fungi; Glomeromycota; Glomeromycetes; Glomerales; Glomeraceae. The record is from RNAcentral.
AGCAGCCGCGGUAAUUCCAGCUCCAAUAGCGUAUAUUAAAGUUGUUGCAGUUAAAAAGCUCGUAGUUGAAUUUCGAGAUCAAUUUGUUGGUCGUGCCUCGGUACGUACUGGCAAUUUUGAUUUCUCCCUUCUGAAGAACCAUGAUGUCAUUAAUUUGGUGUCAUGGGGAAUCAGGACCGUUACUUUGAAAAAAUUAGAGUGUUUAAAGCAGGCUCGCGCUUGAAUACAUUAGCAUGGAAUAAUGAAAUAGGACGUUUGAUUCUAUUUUGUUGGUUUCUAGGAUCGACGUAAUGAUUAAUAGGGAUAGUUGGGGGCAUUAGUAUUCAAUUGUCAGAGGUGAAAUUCUUGGAUUUAUUGAAGACUAACUACUGCGAAAGCAUUUGCCAAGGAUGUUUUCAUUAAUCAAGAACGAAAGUUAGGGGAUCGAAGACGAUCAGAUACCGUCGUAGUCUUAACCAUAAACUAUGCCGACUAGGGAUCGGAUGAUGUUAAUUUUUAAUGACUCAUUCGCGUACCG